GCAGGUGUAGUUCAAUGGUAGAACCUCAGCCUUCCAAGCUGAUUAUGAGGGUUCGAUUCCCUUCACCUGCUCCA
Molecule: transfer RNA, 74 nt
Filed under: Candidatus Izemoplasmatales bacterium
Lineage: Bacteria; Bacillati; Mycoplasmatota; Mollicutes; Candidatus Izemoplasmatales
Also listed under: 1 other name
Description: tRNA-Gly
Rfam family: tRNA
About the family: Transfer RNA (tRNA) molecules are approximately 80 nucleotides in length.
Source: RNAcentral